Molecule: ribosomal RNA, 483 nt
Filed under: uncultured bacterium
Lineage: Bacteria
Description: partial 16S ribosomal RNA
Rfam family: Bacterial small subunit ribosomal RNA
Source: RNAcentral
AUUGAACGCUGGCGGCAGGCUUAACACAUGCAAGUCGAACGAUGAUGCCCAGCUUGCUGGGUGGAUUAGUGGCGAACGGGUGAGUAACACGUGAGUAACCUGCCCCUGACUCUGGGAUAAGCGUUGGAAACGACGUCUAAUACUGGAUAUGACUGCCGGCCGCAUGGUCUGGUGGUGGAAAGAUUUUUUGGUUGGGGAUGGACUCGCGGCCUAUCAGCUUGUUGGUGAGGUAAUGGCUCACCAAGGCGACGACGGGUAGCCGGCCUGAGAGGGUGACCGGCCACACUGGGACUGAGACACGGCCCAGACUCCUACGGGAGGCAGCAGAGGGGAAUAUUGCACGAUGGGCGAAAGCCUGAUGCAGCAACGCCGCGUGAGGGAUGACGGCCUUCGGGUUGUAAACCUCUUUUAGUAGGGAAGAAGCGUAAGUGACGGUACCUGCAGAAAAAGCACCGGCUAACUACGUGCCAGCCGCCGCCGUAA